UACGUAGGGUGCAAGCGUUAAUUGGAAUUACUGGGCGUAAAGGGCGCGUAGGCGGCCAGUGCAAGUCAGUUGUGAAAUCUCCGAGCUUAACUCGGAACGGUCAACUGAUACUGCUCGACUAGAGUGCGGAAGGGGCAACUGGAAUUCUUGGUGUAGCGGUGAAAUGCGUAGAUAUCAAGAGGAACACCUGCGGCGAAGGCGGGUUGCUGGGCCGACACUGACGCUGAGGCGCGAAAGCUAGGGGAGCGAACGGG
RNAcentral lists this ribosomal RNA (254 nucleotides) under uncultured bacterium. RNAcentral's name for it is "partial 16S ribosomal RNA". It matches the Rfam family "Bacterial small subunit ribosomal RNA", at positions 524 to 776 of the family's 1533-position model. The record is from RNAcentral.